This 465-nucleotide ribosomal RNA is filed under the name uncultured bacterium. RNAcentral describes it as "partial 16S ribosomal RNA". It matches the Rfam family "Bacterial small subunit ribosomal RNA", at positions 338 to 795 of the family's 1533-position model. The record is from RNAcentral.
CCUACGGGCGUCAGCAGUGGGGAAUAUUGUGCAAUGGGCGAAAGCCUGACGCAGCGACGCCGCGUGAGUGAUGAAGGUCUUCGGAUCGUAAACCUCUGUCAGCAGGGAAGAACGGUCACUGUGCUAUUCAGCAGUGAAUUGACGGUACCUGCAAAGGAAGCACCGGCUAACUCCGUGCCAGCAGCCGCGGUAAUACGGAGGGUGCGAGCGUUAAUCGGAAUUACUGGGCGUAAAGCGCUCGUAGGCGGUAUGUCAAGUCAAGGGUGAAAUCCCCGCGCUUAACGUGGGAACUGCCUUUGAUACUGGCAAACUGGAGUGUGUGAGAGGGUAGUGGAAUUCCAGGUGUAGGAGUGAAAUGCGUAGAUAUCUGGAGGAACAUCAGUGGCGAAGGCGACUAUCUGGCACAUAACUGACGCUGAGGAGCGAAAGCGUGGGUAGCAAACAGGAUUAGAUACCCCAGUAGUC